RNAcentral lists this ribosomal RNA (301 nucleotides) under uncultured bacterium. RNAcentral describes it as "partial 16S ribosomal RNA". It matches the Rfam family "Bacterial small subunit ribosomal RNA", at positions 509 to 808 of the family's 1533-position model. The record is from RNAcentral.
CAGUAGCCGCGGUAAUACGUAGGUCCCGAGCGUUGUCCGGAUUUAUUGGGCGUAAAGCGAGCGCAGGCGGUUAGAUAAGUCUGAAGUUAAAGGCUGUGGCUUAACCGUAGUACGCUUUGGAAACUGUUUAACUUGAGUGCAGAAGGGGAGAGUGGAAUUCCAUGUGUAGCGGUGAAAUGCGUAGAUAUAUGGAGGAACACCGGUGGCGAAAGCGGCUCUCUGGUCUGUAACUGACGCUGAGGCUCGAAAGCGUGGGGAGCAAACAGGAUUAGAUACCCCCGUAGUCCCUGUCUCUUAUACA